RNAcentral lists this ribosomal RNA (395 nucleotides) under uncultured bacterium. RNAcentral describes it as "partial 16S ribosomal RNA". It matches the Rfam family "Bacterial small subunit ribosomal RNA", at positions 523 to 918 of the family's 1533-position model. The record is from RNAcentral.
AUACGUAGGUGACAAGCGUUAUCCGGAUUUACUGGGCGUAAAGGGCGUGUAGGCGGUCUUGCAAGUCAGAAGUGAAAUUCCUGAGCUCAACUCGGGCGCUGCUUCUGAAACUGCAGGACUUGAGUGCUGGAGGGGAUAGCGGAAUUCCUAGUGGAGCGGUAAAAUGCGCAGAUAUUAGGAAGAACACCGGUGGCGAAGGCGGCUAUCUGGACAGUAACUGACGCUGAGGCGCGAAAGCCAGGGGAGCGAACGGGAUUAGAUACCCCGGUAGUCCUGGCGGUAAACGAUGUAUGCUGGGUGUGAGACUAGCGAUAGUUUCGUGCCGAAGUUAACGCGAUAAGCAUACCGCCUGGGGAGUACGGUCGCAAGAUUGAAACUCAAAGGAAUUGACGGGG